GCUAUCGCUUUUGGAUGGACCCGCGGCGUAUUAGCUAGUUGGUGAGGUAACGGCUUACCGAGGCGAUGAUACGUAGCCGGACUGAGAGGUUGAUCGGCCACAUUGGGACUGAGACACGGCCCAAACUCCUACGGGAGGCAGCAGUAGGGAAUCUUCCACAAUGGGCGCAAGUCUGAUGGAGCAACGCCGCGUGAGUGAAGAAGGUUUUCGGAUCGUAAAACUCUGUUGUUAGAGAAGAACGGUGCAGGCAGAGUAACUGUUCACGGGAUGACGGUAUCCAACCAGCAAGUCACGGCUAACUACGUGCCAGCAGCCGCGGUAAUACGUAGGUGGCAAGCGUUAUCCGGAUUUAUUGGGCGUAAAGGGAGCGCAGGCGGUCUUUUAAGUCUGAUGUGAAAGCCCUCGGCUUAACCGAGGGUAGUGCAUCGGAAACUGGAGACUUGAGUACAGAAGAGGACAGUGGAACUCCAUGUGUAGCGGUGAAUGCGUAGAUAUAUGGAAGA
Molecule: ribosomal RNA, 503 nt
Filed under: uncultured Bacilli bacterium
Lineage: Bacteria; Bacillati; Bacillota; Bacilli
Description: bacterial SSU rRNA
Rfam family: Bacterial small subunit ribosomal RNA
Source: RNAcentral